GAUGAACGCUGGCGGCGUGCCUAAUACAUGCAAGUCGAGCGAACAGACGAGGAGCUUGCUCCUCUGACGUUAGCGGCGGACGGGUGAGUAACACGUGGAUAACCUACCUAUAAGACUGGGAUAACUUCGGGAAACCGGAGCUAAUACCGGAUAAUAUAUUGAACCGCAUGGUUCAAUAGUGAAAGACGGUUUUGCUGUCACUUAUAGAUGGAUCCGCGCCGCAUUAGCUAGUUGGUAAGGUAACGGCUUACCAAGGCAACGAUGCGUAGCCGACCUGAGAGGGUAAUCGGCCACACUGGAACUGAGACACGGUCCAGACUCCUACGGGAGGCAGCAGUGGGGAAUCUUCCGCAGUGGGCGAAAGCCUGACGGAGCAACGCCGCGUGAGUGAUGAAGGUCUUCGGAUCGUAAAACUCUGUUAUUAGGGAAGAACAAAUGUGUAAGUAACUAUGCACGUCUUGACGGUACCUAAUCAGAAAGCCACGGCUAACUACGUG
This 497-nucleotide ribosomal RNA is filed under the name uncultured bacterium. Its description in RNAcentral is "partial 16S ribosomal RNA". It matches the Rfam family "Bacterial small subunit ribosomal RNA", at positions 28 to 507 of the family's 1533-position model. The record is from RNAcentral.